CGGGGCGUAGCUCAGCUUGGUUUAGAGCGCUAGACUGGGGGUCUAGAGGUCGCAAGUUCAAAUCUUGUCGCCCCGACUA
This 79-nucleotide transfer RNA is filed under the name uncultured Phycisphaerae bacterium. RNAcentral's name for it is "tRNA-Pro-GGG". It matches the Rfam family "tRNA". From Rfam's summary of the family: Transfer RNA (tRNA) molecules are approximately 80 nucleotides in length. Their secondary structure includes four short double-helical elements and three loops (D, anti-codon, and T loops). Lineage: Bacteria; Pseudomonadati; Planctomycetota; Phycisphaerae. The record is from RNAcentral.